This 207-nucleotide ribosomal RNA is filed under the name uncultured bacterium. Its description in RNAcentral is "partial 16S ribosomal RNA". It matches the Rfam family "Bacterial small subunit ribosomal RNA", at positions 568 to 774 of the family's 1533-position model. The record is from RNAcentral.
CGCGUAGGCGGUCUAUCAAGUCAGGCGUGAAAGCCUUGGGCUUAACCUGAGAACUGCGUUUGAUACUGGUAGACUAGAGGACGAGAGAGGAAAGUGGAAUUCCGAGUGUAGAGGUGAAAUUCGUAGAUAUUCGGAGGAACAUCAGAGGCGAAGGCGACUUUCUGGCUCGUAUCUGACGCUGAGGCGCGAAAGCGUGGGGAGCAAACA